CUUUAAUGAUUUCAUGCCAUUUAAUGAAAGCAUUUUCUCAGAUACAAUGGGUUUCUUUCUCUUUUAGUUUAUCACUACAUAUGUUCCCUUUGGAGAAUAUAUUUGAUUGAAGUGGCAGAGUGGCAUACCCCCUAAGGCAGAGUCAAUGAAAUCAAUUUCUGGGGUCAACUUAGUGAACAAAAAGCAGCUAAAUGGAGCAGAUGUCUGAUAAUAACAAUCUGAGUUCUACUCUCUCACUUUUCUCAGGAGGAGCACAAGGGUGCAGUUUGUAACAUUCUGCUUCUAGAAGCAAGAUGGUUGUGACUACCUUCAGAGGAAUUUGCCAGCAAGAAAUUAAAACAUUUUCCUGGAUGUUUCUAGAGACCAAACAGUCUAUGUGAAGACAGUGAGGAAGUGGGUGAUAAAGGAGACUACUGACUACUGGAUCUGAAGCAGAUGGGAAGAAAACCAAGAAAGAAACAGAUGCAAUGAACAAAUCCAGAAGAAUUCUGGAUGAGGAAGACUUAUGUUACACAGUACCCUAAAGCCAGUAAAGCAUCAUGACUCUAGAAAGCUUUUAGACACAAUUUCAAGGAACAUUAUCGCACUCUGGCUAGAAUUUGAGAUUUAUUUAUUUAUUUAUUUAUUUAUUUUUCCUACACUCUGUUCCCAACAAAAAUUCAGAAGGAGGUAAGUACUUGAGAAUUUAUAGAAUCAUAGAUAAGCAUUUCAAUAAAUCUGUCAUCUGUUGGAAAAGAAUUCUAGAU
Molecule: long non-coding RNA, 746 nt
Filed under: Coturnix japonica (Japanese quail)
Lineage: Eukaryota; Metazoa; Chordata; Aves; Galliformes; Phasianidae
Description: lncRNA (ENSCJPG00005011065.1)
Source: RNAcentral